UACGAAGGGGGCGAGCGUUGUUCGGAUUUACUGGGCGUAAAGGGCGCGCAGGCGGCUCAUUUUGUCAGGCGUGAAAGCCCCGGGCUUAACCUGGGAACUGCGUUUGAUACGGAUGGGCUAGAGUUCGGGAGAGGAGAGUGGAAUUCCCAGUGUAGAGGUGAAAUUCGUAGAUAUUGGGAGGAACACCAGUGGCGAAGGCGGCUCACUGGACCGGUACUGACGCUGAGGCGCGAAAGCGUGGGGAGCAAACAGG
This 253-nucleotide ribosomal RNA is filed under the name uncultured bacterium. RNAcentral's name for it is "partial 16S ribosomal RNA". It matches the Rfam family "Bacterial small subunit ribosomal RNA", at positions 524 to 776 of the family's 1533-position model. The record is from RNAcentral.